RNAcentral lists this ribosomal RNA (726 nucleotides) under Triticum aestivum (bread wheat). Its description in RNAcentral is "partial small subunit ribosomal RNA". The record is from RNAcentral. Lineage: Eukaryota; Viridiplantae; Streptophyta; Magnoliopsida; Poales; Poaceae.
AUGGCAGAUCAUGCAGUCGUUCACUGGUUGAACACCACGGUCGCGCCUGAUCUUCUGGACGUCGUCAUGGCGGACAGGGACAUCGCGCUCACCGUCUGGAUGGCAAUCGAUGGCAUCUUCCGACACAACCAUCUCGCGCGGGCCGUCUACGUCGAGGCCGAGUACCACGCUGUGGUGCAGGGCGACAUGACAGUCAUGCAGUACUGCACCAAGCUAAAGACGUACGCCGACCAGCUCCGCGACCUCGGCCAGCCAGUGACGGAGUCGCGACAUGUCUUUCAUCUCCUGCGCGGCCUCAACCGUCAGUACCAUGGCGCCAUCCCCCACAUCAUAUCGCAGUCACCGCUGCCCUCGCUCCUCCAGACGCACUUCUUCCUUCUCAUGGAGGAGCAUCGUGCCGAGCAAACCGCGCGUCUACAGGGCAUGCAUGCGCUCGUCGCCGGGCGUGGCCCUGCUUAACCACCUGCCCCGGCCCCAGCCGCGCCUCCGGCUGCGCCUGACGUCAACAACGGUGGCCGUGCACGUGGCGGGCAUGGGUGUCGCUGCGGACGCGACAACGGCCCCGCUGGUGCGCCCCUGCCAGCGCCGCCCCCGUGCGUUACUGGCCUGCCCGUUCGCGCAUCGGGCGCCAACUCCUGGACCGUGCUUGUCCAGGCCUGGCCCAUGCCGUGGCAUGCCCCUGGCUCUGGCGUGCUCGGUCCGCGCCCCGGCACGCCGCACCAAUAG